Molecule: long non-coding RNA, 217 nt
Organism: Xyrauchen texanus (razorback sucker)
Lineage: Eukaryota; Metazoa; Chordata; Actinopteri; Cypriniformes; Catostomidae
Exons: 5
Source: RefSeq, a predicted model, not a curated record
CCCAACAGAUUGGUGGUGUAGACUGUGGAGUCUUCAUGUUGAUGUAUGCUCUACAUCUUGUCUUGGGAGCACCCUUUGAUUUUACAUCUUGCGACUUUCCAAACAUACAGAGAUGGUGGGCUUAUUCUUCUGGAGAACUUUGGGGUUUUCUCUGAAAGUGCAGAAACCGUACAAGAGUCCCUUCCAUGUGAAGAACAAGGAGCUCCCAAUAAUCCGG